CACCCGUUCCCAUACCGAACACGGAAGUUAAGCUCUUCAGCGCCGAUGGUAGUCGGGGGUUUCCCCCUGUGAGAGUAGGACGCCGCCAAGC
This 91-nucleotide ribosomal RNA is filed under the name Bacillus subtilis. The record is from RNAcentral. Lineage: Bacteria; Bacillati; Bacillota; Bacilli; Caryophanales; Bacillaceae. RNAcentral also lists the same sequence under 11 other names.